RNAcentral lists this ribosomal RNA (468 nucleotides) under uncultured bacterium. RNAcentral describes it as "partial 16S ribosomal RNA". It matches the Rfam family "Bacterial small subunit ribosomal RNA", at positions 28 to 507 of the family's 1533-position model. The record is from RNAcentral.
GACGAACGCUGGCGGCGUGCUUAACACAUGCAAGUCGAACGGAAAGGCCCUGCUUUUGUGGGGUGCUCGAGUGGCGAACGGGUGAGUAACACGUGAGUAACCUGCCCUUGACUUUGGGAUAACUUCAGGAAACUGGGGCUAAUACCGGAUAGGAGCUCCUGCUGCAUGGUGGGGGUUGGAAAGUUUCGGCGGUUGGGGAUGGACUCGCGGCUUAUCAGCUUGUUGGUGGGUUAGUGGCUUACCAAGGCUUUGACCGGUAGCCGGCCUGAGAGGGUGACCGGCCACAUUGGGACUGAGAUACGGCCCAGACUCCUACGGGAGGCAGCAGUGGGGAAUAUUGCACAAUGGGCGGAAGCCUGAUGCAGCAACGCCGCGUGCGGGAUGACGGCCUUCGGGUUGUAAACCGCUUUCGCCUGUGACGAAGCGUGAGUGACGGUAAUGGGUAAAGAAGCACCGGCUAACUACGUG